Molecule: long non-coding RNA, 5957 nt
Organism: Centrocercus urophasianus (Greater sage-grouse)
Lineage: Eukaryota; Metazoa; Chordata; Aves; Galliformes; Phasianidae
Exons: 4
Source: RefSeq, a predicted model, not a curated record
UUUCCAUGCCCUAAAGUGCAAUACAAAGGCCAAAUCUCCACCCAAUCUCAAGACAGGUCUGAUCAACAUUAUAAAAAAAACGUGAAGCUAUGCUGGAGGCAAACCAAAACGCUCCUCAGCCUCCUAGAAGACACCUCCUGACUUGUUGGGAGGAUGAAGCUCCUGGCACUCUGUGGCUUUCUGUUUGUCUUCCUUUUGUUCCUCAGUGCCUUUACUGCAGAAGGUCGGAAUGUUAAAAAAGGCUGCUGUUCAAAACUGGCCAAAAUCAACAGAAGAGUGCAUAAAGGUUCGCGUUCCAAAAUGACUCCAAUGCAAAUAAGGAAAUGCAAGCCCUGUGCUGCACCAGGCCCUGUCUUCGCUCCCGGACCUCUUCCACAGCUAAAAUGAGCAGAUGGAGCAUCUGUCUGCCCGCAUGUCCCAGUGCUUUACUUGGUUGAGGGUCCUCUUUUUGCAAAUAGUGCAUGAAUGCCUGCUACUUUGGUCAAUAUUUAUGUAUUCCCUCAGGUUUCAUCUUGUUAUCAUUAACUUGGCAGCUGAGAAGCCAGGCAGAGCUGCCUGGCUGCUACUAGACUUUAUCUGUUGCAUGUUCCUCUUAACCAAACAGGGAUUUAGCUCUGCAAGCAAGCGAAAGAGGAAGGCUGGACAAAAUGCUUUGGUUUGCAUUUCUGGAUGGGAAAAGGCUGAUGUUGUUAUUGUUUCUGGUUACUGCUAUAUAUAUAUGCGUGUAUUCAACAUUUUAUCUGAGUAAUUUCUUAUUGACAAAAGGAUUCUGCUUGUAGCUAGGACAGACUUGUUCCUGCAACAUUUGUUCUCACUGCUCGAAAUCCACUCGUAAGUGGAUUUCUAGCAAGUGAAAAUGAGCUUAUGAUUUAGAAGGGGCUGAGAAGCUAGAUAAGCAGGCUGUUUUAAAAUAGUUGCAGAGGACUAGAUUCAAAUACAGUUCUAAGCACUUCAGUAUCUCCUCUGGGGGACAAACUGGGCUUCAAAAGCAUGGGGGCUGUUCUUUCGCUUCCCAGAAGCAUGUCAUCAGGUGGUUAUUAAAUAUACUGAAAGGAUGUUGAGGUUAAUCAGAUUAAAUCUUCUCCUUCUGAAGCCAGAAGGCAGUUAUUCUGUUCAAGCACCUGAUCUGUGUGAUUACUUCAGUAAACAGAACUCACUGAAGUGUGAUAUUAAACAAAUGAUAUGAAUAUUGCCUGAGUGCUAAUGAGAGAAACAGAAGUUGUCUGAUGUCAUCACCACUGGAGCUUUCACUCAGGUAUCUCCUGUCCUUUUCUACCUGUCUCCUGUCUGUGCUGUUAUUUCUGUGCCCGGGGUGAGUCCUCAAACAAGAAUUGCUUGGAGGUUUAUGAGCUUGGCUUUCCCUCUAGUGAAUAUGAGGUGCAUUGGAAAGCUUUUCCGCUCUUGGGCAAAUUGAAAUUUGCCAGUAGUAAUUUUACCUUCAGCAGAAGGAAAACUGCGGUUUCCCUAAGGUAAUUUCCAGGAUGAUAGAAAUGGUCUCUGUGCCCUUCAUUAAUCUGGGGUAGCUGUGCAGGGGUGGUUAGAUGCCUAUUGUAACCCACCCAGGCAGUAGUGUUUCCCCAGAGAGAAGUUAACGGGCACUCAGAUCUGGCCAUGCUCUCUUAUUGUCAACGUUUAUAUUGUGCUGAGCAAUUGCUAUUACUGCACUUUAUUGUUUUUUGAGUUCAGGUAGAUCUGACCCUCAGCUUCCUAGCUGUGAGCUGACCACACAUGGUGUUUUCAUAUCAAGGAUGAAAAGGAUCCUCUGGUCCUAGCAGGAUCUGAGCCAAGGUUGAUGGAAAAGCUGUGUUCAAUAAUUACGCUGACCACUGAGCAAACAUGUUUAGCUUUAUUUUGGUUUUGUACGCCACAAAAGGUGUCAGCAAUAGCAGUGAUGUAGUAAGUGUUUUGGAUAUGACAUGUUUUCAGCCGUGGUUUUAUCUCUAAAAUGUGGCAAUGUGUUUACAGCCCCAUGCAAAGCGUUAGUAACAGCUAUGAGGGGUUCUGCUCUCUAACAACAUGAGUUAAGGCCAUUUGUUUUAUGUUUGCAAAAUGCUAUGAGAUUUUUCUUUUUGUCCUUCUAACAGCAGGAUCCACGCUCUGGUCCUUUUUCAGGCAGCAUUGUUUCUGGUAGCAAAAGAAGUUGCCCAAGACCAUCAGCAUAAUUAGAGAAAUGCUGGGGGUCUCUAGACAUCACCAAGGCACUUGGGUAUUUUUAUUCACCUGGCUUCUCAGACUAGCCUCAACCUAGGGUUAAGGGCUCUUCAAAUAUAUAAAUAUGUCAUGUCAGUGAGGCCUUGGUUUUGACUGAACAAACUAAAGCAGGAUCCUCAAGCUAUUUCAGCUCUGACUGUGAUGACUGCUGCUCAAAUAUGGUUUUUGCCUGGCCUACCGGUAUCCAAGAGGUCAUCUGUCAUCUUCCCAAAGGUGAUUCCUCACCUUGAAGUCAGACUUCUACUUCUUGAACUAUUUUCCCUAUGUGGUAGAACAGAGUUACCUCCUGAUCACAGCUUCACCUUAUAGGCACCUGUUCUUCAUUUUGUUUCCUUUAUUUCCAUAUUUAUUUUCUUGGCUUUACCUGAGGAGAAACAUAUUUACUCAGUGGCUUUGCAAAAUCCGCAGUCGGCAUGCUUACACGAAGCAAUAAAUUCAGCGUGCCCAAGCUCACACGUGCAUUUCUUUGUAUCCUGCAUUUUUGUGUGCACCUGGCUGUCAGGCAUGAAGACUGUAGAGCUUUCAUGUUCCAAUAAAGAUAUUUUUGAUGUAUCUCUAUGCCUCCCAGAAUACAUGUUGGAUCCUAGUCUGAUAUUGUCCACUUGUUCUGAGAUUAAUACCAUCAGCUGACACCAAAUUGGUCUUUUAUAUGUUACUACGGAUGUGUCCCAUCAGGGGCACAGAGAAAUGGUUGCUGCUGAGAGGGGCUGUUAGAGCACAAGCAGUUUGUUGUUUUUUUCCUACAAACUCUGUACCAGAAGUCUAAAAGCUACAUAUUCUUUGUACAAAUAAUAAUCUCAGAGGUGUAUUGGGGAUUCUUGCCGUUGAACCCUCAGCCGUCUUGACUCUGGCCUACACCUCAUUCGAGGGUCUGGGUGUAGCUGCUUUCAGGAUUUUAGCUCUGCAGAAGUUCUGUUAAUCCAAAGUAUGGGCUACUAUGGCAGUUUCCUAUGAUUGUAUUUUCUAAGAAAAAACAAAAUCCUGCAUAGGUAACGUCAUUACAGAUGAUUAGUCAGGUGAAGCAUGAAAGCAGAGGCAUGACUUCUUGCUCUUGCAGAUCUGUAUGCUCUUGCUGAAGCUGAGUGGAAGGUUCUUCGUGAUUUGAGUGUUGAGAGGAUUGAGUCUAGAGACACGUUGCCUGAUCCUCUUCUGUCCAGUUUUGCUGCUAACUGACCUACCAGACAGAUACAGCAGCCUUGCCAGAUGGUGAAUGCAGAUUGAAUUCUAUCUAUAUUUGACCAAAGUUCAUUUUGAGAAGAAUCCAGCUAAAAUUUAGCUGUGACUUUCUUCUCUCCUCAGUUGAAGGUGAGAGGAAAAUUGCUUCACAAGUCAAUCUUUUUUUUUUUGGCAUCAAACGGAUGAAUUUUUCCCUCGUUAGAUCUGAGCAGUUGUCUCUGCUGUUUUCUCUGCAGAAUUAAGUAUUUGUUUAGAUGAUGGUGGGGAAAAAAAAGAGCUCCUUAGCCCUACAUUAAGUAACGUGUGCAGGCAUGUUGGUUCUGACUUGUGCGUGACUUCAGUUCCCAGCAGCAAUUCAGCAUUAUAAGGCUUCUGGUGGGCACUGGAUGACUAAGUUGCUUUCUAGCACCCAGCUGUCUCAUCAUAUUUCACAUUUUCAUCUCGGAGUAGGUGUAUAGGCAUGGGAGAAUUUCCCCCAAAUUACUUGUGUUUUCAGUGUGUCACUGGUGAAAUCUGCUGGAAAAGUUAUCUGGAUGUGCAUUUGUCCGAGUCAUCAUUCAGCCCUUCAGCUGCCACUUUGCCUCAGAGGCCCUGCUGUGAGUGUCAUCAGGCGUAGGGGAUUUAAUUCCACAUUUUCAGGCUGGUACUCAAUGAGGGAAUGACAGAGGCCAGAGAUUUGCAGUAACAUAAGCACAUUACUGUCUCAGUGCCAUCUAGUCAGCCUCUGAAAGCAUGAUCAGAGAAAUCAAGUCACUUGAUGCCUUGAGAGAUCCUAAACUGGGCACGACUUGCCUGUCUUCUUGCACACUCCCAAAAACCUCUGCAAUUGCAAGAAGCUGUCAAACCAAGCCCAGUUGAUGUCAGGCUCAAACUGCAUGCGGCGCGUUUGCUGGAGAGCAAGUGAGUCACAGCUAGCAGUGCAGCACAGAUGCUUGCAGGAGAGGGUUUAAGCCUUGUACGGGAGAAAUACCAGCCCAAACAUUUGAAAGCUUUUGUGCACAACGUGCCUGUUCAGCGAAUGAUUGUGAUCAAGUCUCUAAAACUGGACCACAUGUGCAGCCUUCUAACAGUGUAGCUUACACAAUUGUGAUAUGCUUAACACACUCAAAGCACUAAUAGACCCUGGUUAAUAAGAUGUCCAAGUCCAAAAGCGAAACAGCAGUAGGGUUUCUCUCAGCUGACAAGCAAGGUGACACUUAAUAUCUGUCAGUGGCAGAAGAGAUCUGUUCUCCUCAUUUCUCCAAUGUUGUUUGGUCAUUAGCACUGAUCUCAACCCGAGGGACAAAAAGGCACAUUCCCAGGGAGUGCUAUGUGGUUAGUUGUAGCCAAUUCAUCUUUCCUUGGUUUCUGGAAAUAAGAUGUCUGUGGCAUGCUCUUAUAAUUGGAUCCUACAGCCACAGUGCGCUGGAUAUUACCAUCUUCGCUAGGUGGUUUUUUGAGUCAAAACUUCCCAUUUGUCUCACUGAAGAGCCCUAUGUCAUAGUCAGUGCUGGCUGUGCGGUGUGCUCACUGAGCAGAGCUAAAACUUGUUUGCAUCUGCCUGGCAAGAAAGAUGAUUUCAUGCAAAAACAGUGUGAAGAAGUCCAUCUGAUCAGAGAAGCAGUCAGAUGUUUUGAAACAAGUUUCUGAAUGGGAUGGAUAUUCAGUAGGGUCCACAAGUCCCUCUAUAAAACAUUCCCUUCAACUUAAGAACCUUUCAGUUGCUAACUUUUGAUUAUAUGGGAAACAAUGAAUGAUGGUUGUUGUCUCUGGGUUCUUGUCUUGAAGUUGUUUGAUUGUACUAAGGUUAAACAAACAAGCAUUUUCCUUUGUCUUGGUUAAGUAUAUACUUAGGCUGCUUGCUUUUGUGAAAGCAUUUGGAUGAGUGGAUGAUGAGAUGAAACAGAAAAUACCUGAGCUCAAGUUAUGUCUGGGAAAGGAUUACGUACGUGGUUAAUAUUAGCCUUGUAAUUUCCACCUUUGAUGUUUGAAUUCCCCCAUAUUUCUAUUGAGUUAGGUGAAGACUGACUAGAUUGGAGAAAAGAUCCUAAAGUCUGAGAAGUGAAAUCCAUUCAGUUCUCAAAUUGGCACCUGUAGUUGAGAUUCUCACUAUAUAGUCCUAUCAAAUCUACUAACGGGUUGUUAAAAAAAAAAAAAAGAGAGAGAGAGAGAGAAAUUCAAUAACUGUGGUACUUUGAGAUAAAGUACUUGAAGGUGUGUGAGGUGAAGAGCCUGUCUGUGGGCUUUAUCCAGUGUAAACAGCUUGCUUUGAAAAUCAUGAAAACAGUGUAUUUAGAGGACUGUUGACUGCGUAGAAAUUUCUCCAGUGGCAGUUACCAAAAGUUUAUGUGGGAACAGAGUGAUAGUCCCAUGUGUUUUUGAGGUAAGGUAAAUUACUUCAAAGCCAAGUUUUUAGAUCUCCAUGUUAUGGAUAGAAAAAUUAUUGGAAUGUAUCUUGCAUUCAGAACUUUCAGGUUAAGGAUGAACUUUGGUGUAAGGAUUGCCUCUCAUUACAGCAAUCCAAGGUGAAGACUGAGGUGUUCUCCAGCCAGUUAGAUCUUCAAAAUCCUAACAAGCUACAGAAGUUGUGG